Molecule: ribosomal RNA, 253 nt
Filed under: uncultured bacterium
Lineage: Bacteria
Description: partial 16S ribosomal RNA
Rfam family: Bacterial small subunit ribosomal RNA
Source: RNAcentral
UACGAAGGGGGCUAGCGUUGCUCGGAAUCACUGGGCGUAAAGGGUGCGUAGGCGGGGCUUUAAGUCAGGGGGGAAAUCCUGGAGCUCAACUCCAGAACUGCCUUUGAUACUGAAGAUCUUGAGUUCGGGAGAGGUGAGUGGAACUGCGAGUGUAGAGGUGAAAUUCGUAGAUAUUCGCAAGAACACCAGUGGCGAAGGCGGCUCACUGGCCCGAUACUGACGCUGAGGCACGAAAGCGUGGGGAGCAAACCGG